AAGCAUUACAUGUUAUUCUUAACACCUGCCACUUCUCUCUUCCCACCUCUAUCUGCCUUAUUGAACUUCAUCUUUCCUUCAUUCUCUUCAACUUCCACUUCUUCUUGUAUGGUCCUGUUGAUGCCAUCUUGUUUCCGUCCCCAGACUCAUCAUCUUUACCCUCUGUCAACUGAGUUCCCACCCUGGUUCUCUCUCAAGAUCUUCCUCUCAUAGCUUUCACCCUUGGUAAACAAUGAGGACACAUCUCAAAAAGAAUGAUGUAAUUUAAUUGCCUUGAGUUGGCUGGGCCAUCAUCUAUUAUAAAGUGCUCUUAAAAUUAAAGCUAAUUUAAUUCUGAAGAACUAAGGAUUAAGAAGUUAAGAGCUGGGGUUCUUACAAUAUGGCUUGCAGACUACAAGUGUGAACUGAGGAGGUCCCCAAAGUCACUUCUUACUAAGGACUCUGGGAGUUGCCUCUUCCUUCUCCAUUUGCACAAACCACGCUUCAGCCUCAAUCAGCCUGAUAAAAUGUUCACCUGCCAUCUCUCUGCUCUGCAACACGCUGGCACUUCACUCAUUUCCUCCAACAAGCUUCUUACCACUUCCCUCUGUGGCUAAUCUCUUCCCACCCUUGGUCAGUCUCAUCAACUCUAUUCCUUUGAAUCCCAAAUACUAAACAGUUCAGAUAGGUGAUGGAUUGAAAAUAAUCCCAAUAUUCCACAAGCAACAUCAACAUCCCCCACACACCCAGCACCGAGGAAUACCCUCCUCUCUAGAAUGUGAGGCCACUGUGUGGAGGAAGACACCACGGUGCUCUACUGAGCCAUGAAAGUCACGCCUGACCUAAACAGAAGACUACGUCCCCUGGCUAAAAGAGGAAAUAGUGGGAACUGGAAAAAAAAGCAAAUGAGCAAGCAGUUUCCAGGGGAAGAAAUGCAGAGGGAUGAUUGUGAGGAAGCCUAGGCCACAUGGAGAGGCCACAUAGAUGUGUUCCAGGCAGCAGCCCCAGCAAAGGUCUCAAUCAACCACCAUAUGUGUGAGUGAAGGAACCUUCAGAUAAUUUUGCUUCCCAGACUUCAAGUCUUUCAGCUGGGGUCCAAGACAUCACAAGGCAGAGACAAGCCCUCCUGGAAUUCCCCACCCACCGUGAGCAUAAGAAAACUGGAAAGCGGUGUAAAUGGCUCUUAUCUGAACCACAAUGAAUUCACAUAUUCAAGUUGGCUUCUUCGGAAAUUUCAGGCCACAAAUGGCAGUGAUGCGACCAGGAGCAGUAACACGGUUACAAGUCGCAAUUUAGGAAGGGUGCUCCAUCAUCAUUUCAUGAUUCUCACUACAGCCCAGACAGGUGGGCAGAGCAGUGUUCUUUCCCCUUUAAUGAAUGAAGAAGCUGAGCCUCAAACAGAUGAGGGGGCUUCCUGGGUUCACAGAGCUCUAAAGGGCUGAGCUGUAGAUCCACGGCCACCAUGAUGAGCUAAGAGUUUCUGGAUUCAGUGCCUGCUGUUGCUCCUGGAGAUUUGUAUCCUGAUUGAAGGCUGGUUCCAUAUCUGUUCACCCAGGCACCUUUAAAAUUAAGUCCUGGGCACAAAUCAUUAGUCUGGCAAGUUACAUCACUGGGCCACUUCCAUCCGGACAGAAGGAACCCAGGUCAAGGCUGACAGGAGGAGCAGGAGCCGUCAAUGAGAGCAGACCUCAGAAGCCAACGGAGGUGAGAAGAGCACCAUCCACAGCCCCAUCCUCUGAAUGCUGUGGGAAGAAGUCCACAAAAUACCACCCCUUGGAGUCAGUCAGUAGUAGAGCCCUUGCUGCUGGCUGCAAAUACCCCAUCAGAACAUGUUUGGGGUGAUUCUUGGACCUGGUUUCAAUUUCUUUUCUGCCAGUCAGCAGUUGUGCUUGACUCACAAUUUGUUGCCAUCUCUUGAAUUAAACUCAGGAAACAGGAUAAAGAUCAGAACCACAUUGUAAAAGCUUCCUUAUGGUUCAUUUUUUGCUGAGAUAAAUAAUGAGCAGCUCUGAUCCAUGUCUCUGGAGAGCUCAGAGCACACUACCAGGAGCUCCUAGCCACAGGGUGAGCACAGGUGGCUGGUGUUCUCUUGAUGAGGAAAGACAGCAGUGUCCAAUCUACCCUGCCUUACACGGAGCCCCAGGUGCUCUCCCGGACUGUGUUGCUACCUAAAGCACAUGGCAAUUGCAUGAUGCUAACCAGAGCAGCCCCUCACUCAUUAGAAACAUCUGCUUUGCAUUAUUUACACAGGCAAAGUUUUCCUUUUUACUGAGCCUACCCAGUUCAAACUUAAGUGGGAUUUGCCAGCUAUCUGGCUAAUUUUAUGAGCAAUAAUAAAGAUUGGUGAACACUUGGU
Molecule: long non-coding RNA, 2335 nt
Filed under: Homo sapiens (human)
Lineage: Eukaryota; Metazoa; Chordata; Mammalia; Primates; Hominidae
Description: long non-coding RNA NONHSAT155485.1
Source: RNAcentral